This 3763-nucleotide long non-coding RNA is filed under the name Cricetulus griseus (Chinese hamster). RNAcentral's name for it is "lncRNA (ENSCGRG00000026375.1)". The record is from RNAcentral. Lineage: Eukaryota; Metazoa; Chordata; Mammalia; Rodentia; Cricetidae.
AUGGCCAUCUCUGGCCCAGGCACUGUCCUUACUCACUUGGAUGGUGCCGAGCCCUCCACCCUCAUCUCUCUGCUCAUAAUCAUCCCCAUUUCUCAGCUCCAUAGCUUGACUCUUCCCCUUCCUUGGCCCCUGCAGCCAUUUGUUUCUUCUUUCUUCCCUGGACCCCAUGCUUUGUGUACAUUCUGUUUACUCACCUCCCUCCUGUCCUGCAUUGGGUUUCUACUUAAAAUCCUGAUGAUCACCUAUCUAUCCCCUCCCCUUCAUCCUGGUUUCUUUCUUUCCAUAUCUCACAUGGUUCAACCAUCAUCAUCAUCAUCAUCAUCAUCAUCAUCAUCAUCAUGUUUUUUUUUUCCAGACAGGGUUUCUCUGUGUAACAGUCCUGACUAUCCUGGAACUCACUUUGUAGACCAGGCUGGCCUCAAACUCACAGAGAUUUCUCUGCUUCUGCCUCCCAAGUGCGGGGAUUAAAUGUGUGCUGCUGCGGCCACCACCACCACCUGGCUCAGAACAGGAUUUUUACAGAAGGAUGAGGGCUCCAGACUUGUCAGCAGAGGGAACUGUGAGCAGACAGGUAACAAGGGAAUGGCCAGUGUGGGGUUGUGCCUGAGUCUGCUUAUGACCGCUGGGCCAGCACCCAGGUUCUUGUGUGCUAUUAGGUGUGUCCUCUGCCUCCUGCGGCCUGACAUGAGCAUUUCCCAGUGUAGCCAACAGUUCAGUGUAGACAAUUCAUUUGAAAAGUUUUGGAAUCACCUCUGUGGCACUUCUUUGGGAAUAACAGGGCUUUGACUGGGGCUGGGGACAGAGAAAGGGACAGGGUUCAAUGUAGUUGUAACAGCCCUGCUCAGGCUCUAGCGGUCUCAAGCCUGUCCCAGGUCCCUUCUCUUCCAAAGUGAGUGAAGUUUCAGACCUCGGCCAGCAGGCGGCGCCCAGGUCUACAGCUCUCUGUCCUGCUCCCAGAAAGCUGCAGCAUCUCAGGUUGCAUCUAUGGGUGUUGACGCCAGGAAACAGCCUGUGGACUGACUCGAGGCAUCAGAGCGUGGGAUCCAGGCAGGGCAGACAGUUUCCCAUCAUCCGCUAAGCUCCACUGUGGGCCUGUUCCCUGGGAGUUUAUACAGUUCAGGCUGAUAGUGAAGACUGAUGAAGGCUUUCCCAGAAGUCUAUAAAAGUGUCCACUGAGAUUCUAAGUGAGAAUGUGCAAUGUCCAGAGCCUGGUCCCAUUUCUCCAACCGAGGCCAGAUGUCCAGAGAUUAGGGUAGGAGCUGGUGAAGCCCAUAGUUGGCUUGGGGAUUCUUGACUUGAUUGGAAUGGAGGGCCCUCUCCUCUCUGAUCUCCGGAAGCCACACAGACCACUUUGGUAUCCCAUCUGGUCUCCUGAUCAGAUCAGAGAGCAGUGUCAGAGGGCCCUGGAGCUUCCCUUGCAUCAGUUGCCCCUGCAACCCAGUCAAGGGGUCAGAGUUUGUUUCUUUGCUUAUAUUUUUGAAAUAUCUAUUUUAUUAUUUAAAUUAUGGGAGCAUGGGUGUGAGUGCAUGUCUCUGUGUUUGUACGUACAUAUGUGCACGUGUGAGUGCAUGUUCACAUGUUCACAUGCUGAGGCAAGGGCCAUUGGCUUUUGGGUUAUAUGCUGGUGUGAGAAGCAUGAUAUGGGUGCUAGGAACCAAACUCAAGUUCUCUGGAAGAACAGUGUGUGCUUUUAACCACUGAUCCAUCUCUCCAGUCCUUGUAUUUCAUUUUUUGGGCCAGGGGCUCCUUCUGUAGCCUAGUCAAGGCAAUUCUGCCCCUGCAUCCACCAUCUCCCUCUUUCUUUUGAGAUAGUGUCUCUCUAUGAAGCGCUGGCUGGACUGAAACUCACUAUGUAGACUAGGCUGGCUUUGAACUCGCAGAGAUCUUCCUGCUGCCUCUGGAGCGCUGGGAUUAAAGGUGUGCAUCACCACACUUGGCUAGCUGGUUACGUUUCUGAGACUCCCUGGCUGACUCCACCUUAGGGUCUCAGGUACAACAUUCAACCCAAGGACUGGCCAUUGAAGACUGGAGUGUGUCUCUGUCCCCCCUGGUUCUGGAACAAAAUAGCCAAACCAAGGAAGCCUAUCAGAGCCUAGCUAUGGGUUCUCUCCUGGGUUCUGCCUGCCAUGAUCACAUCUCUGGCAUCCCUUGUUCAGCUGCUGGCAGAUCCCUUCCAUCUGUGGGUGUGGCACAGGUUAACACCUUGAAAUCCCUUUUGUCUCCCGUCUUUCUGGGCCUGGAUCUUCUCUCCCUACCCUCCUGUUUGGAAGCCCCCGAGAACUCAGCUUUAAGCAUACUUAGCCCAAAGAGUCUAUGUGCUGCUUAAACAUGUAGGGAAGAGCAUUGGCUUGGGACAAUCAGGCCCAGGCCCAGACACCCCAUGUCCUCUUCCAUGCCCUGAGCACCAAGGCUGAAAUCCAGGUGUAGCUAAGACUCAGCACUGGCCUGGUUCACUCUCUGCUGUCAACCAACACCUGGUGGAAGCUGGACUUGGUGUGUAAUCAGCACUCAGGAAGCUGAGACAGGAGAGUUGUGAAUUUGAGCCCAGCUUAGGCUGCCCAGGAGAUCCUGUCUAAAAAAAAAAAAAAAAAAAAAAAAAAAAACCCAAAAAAAAAAGGUAAUAUAAGGAGGUAGCAGAGGACGUUGGGGCUUGGCAGAGGGGCUGCUAACACACAUGGGAGUGUUCACAAGGGCUCUGCGGUUAACAGUUAUGAUUGACCAGGCUUAGAUAAGGCUCUUGCCCCCCUCCAGCCUCAGUUCCAGCCUCAGUUUUCCCAUAUGGGAUGUGGGGGUGAGCCCUGCUCUCUGCCUCAUUGAGUCUCCUGAAGAUUAAAUGCAGUUAUCGACACCUAGAGACCAUAGCAUGGGAACUCAGGGACAGAGAGGGUGCAGUAGAUCGGUAUGCAGAAGGGGAGACAACAGUGAGUGUCUGCAUUUGUGUUCACAGACUGGAGGAAUGGGCUGCUGCUUACUUGCUGGGGGAGGGGCAGUGCUGUCAGAGCUGGUAAUUAGGCUGCGGAUUAGGGGACCCCACGUGACCAUUGGUGCAAGUGCUUUUGUUGUGGUCUGAGUCUCCCUUAGCACCCCCCACCCCACUCUGGGAUCAAAGGAAAUGUCCAGUUUUCUUUGCAACACAGUGGGAGGGGGUCACCCGGAAGGGUCUGCGCCUUCCUCUCAGCGUUGUUAGGGGCGACCAGGGGAAGGGUGGUGAGGCACCCUCAAGGAAGGCUUGUUUUGACAGUUCCCAUGCCGUUUACAUGGUCCUCAAGUCACUAGAGGAGCCUCCUGAAUGAGAAGGCGGAGGCAUUACCUAAGAGCACCAGCCACUAAGAGGGUGGGCCUCAGCCUGGUCUUCUCCUGCACUUGCCCCCACCCACAGAGCGAGUAGGGUGGGCCAGCCUUCAGAGAUGGAACCUUAGGCCCUCCCUGCCUGGCUCCCGUCAGUACCCACCCUCUCAUUCUCUGCUACAAACACCUGAGAAAGCUGGGGUGCUCACAGACCUGGGGUCCUGUGAAGAACUACUGACUGCAGGGGUUGUGCCUUGUAUCUUAAGGCAUGUAUAUAUCCAUUCACAUGGUCACCUAGGUCCACAAAGGGAGGGCCGGGGGACAUGCCUCCUAGCCAGCCCAGCUGGCUUUGGUGCUCUGAGGCCUGGGGCUUUGUGCAGUAAUUUCAGGGGAGGGAAACAAGGCAGAAGGCACUGGAGGCAGGCAGGCCAGGCCUGUAGGGAAGAGAGAGAGCAGGUGGGCUAGGCAGGAGGGC